GGGCUAAAAUUAGGACAUAAUUAAAAGCUUAAUUACCCAUCCUAACCUAAAUAAGCUCGCUGCACUCAUCUCUCUCUCUCUCUCUCUCAGAUUUUUUUCCCCAUCAUUUCCUCAUUUCCUCUUUGCGUCACGCCGCCCCGCCAACCACCGUCCGGCGGCGCCCCGCCCGCAGACACUGCCAGUCCGCCCGCAGACAACCACCGUCCGGCGGCGCCUCCACCUCAUCCUACCCACGUAACCCACCGCCUAUCUCUCUCUCUUCUCCUUCUCCACACCUAUCGGUCUCUCUUUCUCCCCAUCUCUCCCACCUUUCCCUCUCGCAGCCAUCGCCGUCCACCGCCGUCCGUCGGCCAGCCAGAUUUCUCCGCCGCCAGAUCUGUCCACCGCCGUCCACAGCCAGAUCUGUCCGCCGCCGACCUCCACCUAGCGCUGCCUUCCUCCACCGCCUUCACCAAUUUGUAGAUUUGUGGAUUUGAUUUUUUGGGGUUUGUGGAUUCAAGGAGAGUUGGUGCAUUUGUGGAUUUGCUAUUUUGGGUUUGUGGAUUCGAGAGGAAUGAGUGGAUUCGGGGAUCUAGGGAUUUAGAAAUAGGCGUUGCCUCGCGCUGCUCCCGGAUCUGCCACCUCGCCGGAAGAUAUCCAGCCUCGUCGCCGGCGACCGCCUCCAGCAACGGACUGAAGAAAGGAAGUUCUGAAAUCGCCUCCAACAAGAAUUUUGAUACUCCUAAUAAAAUUGUGAUUCUUGAAGAUUGUUGAUUUAAUUUGCAGUUUGUGG
This 772-nucleotide long non-coding RNA is filed under the name Salvia miltiorrhiza (redroot sage). RNAcentral describes it as "long non-coding RNA (SMIL_LNC008859)". Lineage: Eukaryota; Viridiplantae; Streptophyta; Magnoliopsida; Lamiales; Lamiaceae. The record is from RNAcentral.